This 501-nucleotide ribosomal RNA is filed under the name uncultured bacterium. RNAcentral's name for it is "bacterial SSU rRNA". It matches the Rfam family "Bacterial small subunit ribosomal RNA", at positions 8 to 507 of the family's 1533-position model. The record is from RNAcentral.
AGAGUUUGAUCAUGGCUCAGAUUGAACGCUGGCGGAAUGCUUUACACAUGCAAGUCGAACGGCAGCACGGGGCAACCUGGUGGCGAGUGGCGAACGGGUGAGUAAUACAUCGGAACGUGCCCAAUCGUGGGGGAUAACGUAGCGAAAGUUACGCUAAUACCGCAUACGAUCUACGGAUGAAAGCGGGGAUCGCAAGACCUCGCGCGAGUGGAGCGGCCGAUGUCAGAUUAGGUAGUUGGUGGGGUAAAGGCUCACCAAGCCAACGAUCUGUAGCUGGUCUGAGAGGACGACCAGCCACACUGGAACUGAGACACGGUCCAGACUCCUACGGGAGGCAGCAGUGGGGAAUUUUGGACAAUGGGCGCAAGCCUGAUCCAGCCAUUCCGCGUGCAGGAUGAAGGCCUUCGGGUUGUAAACUGCUUUUGUACGGAACGAAACGGCGAGCUCUAAUACAGUUUGCUAAUGACGGUACCGUAAGAAUAAGCACCGGCUAACUACGUG